RNAcentral lists this long non-coding RNA (1081 nucleotides) under Callithrix jacchus (white-tufted-ear marmoset). RNAcentral describes it as "lncRNA (ENSCJAG00000077309.1)". The record is from RNAcentral. Lineage: Eukaryota; Metazoa; Chordata; Mammalia; Primates; Cebidae.
CCUCUUCCCACAACUUCCCUGUGGGGUAUGACUGCUGUGACGGUUUUGUCACCUUGGCUAGGCUACUGUGCGCAGUGGUUUGGUCCACUGCUAGUCUAGAUAUUGCUGUGAAGUCAGGAGUUCGAGGCUACACUGGGCUAUGAUCGUGCCAUUGUGCUCCAGAGUGAGACCUGAUGAACAUAAUCAGUUGACUUUAAGUAAAAAUAUUACCCUUGAUAAUGUGGGUAGGCCUCACCUAGUCCGCUGAAGGCCUUAAGAGCAAACACCGAGGUUUCCUGAAGAAGAAACGAUAUUCCCUCAACUGUGGUAAGGGAAUCUUCUCUGAGUUUCCAGCCUGCUGGGCUGCCCUACAGAUUUUGGACUUACCAGCCCCCACAACCAUAUGAGCCAAUUCCUGAAAAUAAAGCUACAUCUCUAUCCAUUACCUCUUAUUGUCUCUGCUUCUCUGGAAAACCCUAAUACAACUGUCAUUCCUAUUUUACAGAUGGGGAAGCUGAGGCUGAGAGAAAUUUGAUCUCAUGGCCGGUGUCAUAUGCCACUCAGUGGCAGGGCCAGGACUAGAACCCAGGCCGCCUCUCUAGGACCAGCGUUCUGGACCACCCAGCUAAUGCUGGGAUCCAGGAGCCCAGGCCACUUCCCUAGUGCACCAUCCUUGAGAUGGGAAGAUUACCCACUGAUGUAACCACAGGUGUCCUUAUAAGAGGGAAGCAAAGGAGACGCUGGUCCAGAGGAGGAGGGGAGGUGAUGGAGUGGCAAGACGCGGAGAGAUGUGAGCCAAGGCGGGUGAUCUCCAGAAGCUAGGCAGGGCAAGGACUGGACUCUCUAUGAAGCCACUGGAAGGAACCAGCCCUGCUGAGGCCUUGCCUUUUUCAGGGAAUCUGAUUUUGGGCUUUGAGCCUCCAGAACUGUAAGAGAAUAAAUGUGUGUUGUUUAAGACCAUCAAGUUUGUGUUAAUUUGUUACAGCAGCUACAAGAAACUAAUACAGAUCCCUCCAGCUCCUCUGCAGAGAAUACGCUAAAUGUAGUCUCGGGAGGAAGCAGAAAGACCAGUCGGGAGGCUUUUCAACCAUCCCCCAGAAAG